Molecule: non-coding RNA, 33 nt
Filed under: Prorocentrum micans
Lineage: Eukaryota; Dinophyceae; Prorocentrales; Prorocentraceae
Source: RNAcentral
CAGUUUUUUUUUUUUUUUUUUUUUUUUUUCUUC